Cuculus canorus (common cuckoo) is the source of this 1069-nucleotide long non-coding RNA. RefSeq lists it as uncharacterized. The record is from RefSeq and is a predicted model, not a curated record. NCBI's taxonomy places the organism in Eukaryota, Metazoa, Chordata, Aves, Cuculiformes, Cuculidae. The transcript is spliced from 3 exons.
CUGAGCGUGAAGGCACUCCCUUAGUGCACCCAAAACUCCUGUGGCUGGGAAAGGACCAUUCUGAAACUCAGUGUCUGGAAAAGGACUACUUGUGCUUCAGAAAGGAACUGAUGAUCCCCUCCUGAAAGCAUGGUACACCUGCCACCUGGAUUGUAGUCUGAGCUAGAGAAUAGCAGAAUUAUAUGAUCUGGAAAGUUCUGGACAUAUAUAACUGGUGGAAAAUGCCAGAAUUACCUCAUCCGAGUCAAGGACAGAAUGAAUAAAAAAUUCUGACCAAAGUCAAUUACCUGCAACCCUAUAAAUAACCAUCUUAAGUGAGACCCUUUGAGGUCUCCAGGACUGCAGCGGGCUGCAUCCAGUAUCUCCCUCUUAACUUGAAUGCCUUUCAGGGUCGACUGCUGAUAAGAGGAACAGGGCAAGUCCAGGCUCCUCACAACUCAAAGACUGUCCAUUGAGAAUGCUGAUAUGUUGAAAGCUGUAAACUCCAGAGAUUGGAAAGCUGUCACAAGACUGCUCAGCUGUGGUCUGAGGUGGUGCUUCAGGUGCAGGACAAGAUGAACAGCUCAGAGUAAACCGAUGCAGCCUAAUCCAGGGAAAUCAGCUCUUUCUUCUCCAAAGUGGUAGAUAUUUAUGUCAAAGUGAUCAGCAGUGAACCAGUUAAUUUUUCUGACACUUGAAUGAGGGCCCUGCAUUUCUGAGGGAGUACUCUGCAGCCAACCCCACUUGGAACCCUUCCUGCAGCUGCUCACAGGGGCUUGGCAUUCCCAAAGAUGCCACCGAGAAAGCUGGAGACGAGGAGGAGGCAGCACCAGGAGAGCAGUCAACUCUCUGCAGACAGGCAGAGAGUGCUCCAGGGACUACCACUGGUCCAUGGAUGACAGAUGGGAACUUACGGUCUAUAGCAUAACAGAUGGAUCACAGCUCUGGUUUCCACUUGCAUGGAGAGAAUCAAAGGAUUAUGGGGCAGCUAAAUGAAAACACCUAAUCAGAAGAUCUGUGAUUCAGUGCAGUGAUUUGGGAGGAUGUUAUUUGCAGGGGUGAAAACCUUGUGGCAGUGACUAAUGCGUAA